Molecule: long non-coding RNA, 687 nt
Filed under: Panax ginseng (ginseng)
Lineage: Eukaryota; Viridiplantae; Streptophyta; Magnoliopsida; Apiales; Araliaceae
Description: long non-coding RNA (PGIN_LNC018728)
Source: RNAcentral
AUUAUGAAUUAUAGAGAUGAAUUAGUAAAGAAGAUGGAUAGAAAUUUAUCUAUUGAUUAUGUGAAAUUAUUUUAUAAUAGUAAGUUGGUGACAUUAAAUAUCUUUGAUAAUCACCAAUUCCUGAGUAUUUGUACGAGUACGUAUCAAGUCUAAGGCAGUACAACCGUAUUAUUUAAUGGUGGAUGUAUGGGAGAUGGGAUAAACAAUUCCUUUAGAGAGCGGAGGUAUAUACGAAUUAGUAACCGAUCUAACUCACUGUGAAAACAGUGUAGACGAGACGAAAACUAAUUUGUUGGAUGUUUGUGGGAAACCACUCAGUGUACUAUAUUGAGUAUUAUUAAAGACUCGAGGUGUACUAGGUUUGGACGUAUAUGCGUGUACGUUAUUAACGAGAGAAUGAAAUCGAUAUACCUUUAAGGUGGUUAGAGAAUUAUUAUGUAAUUCAUUACACGACGAGAAGUGCAGAUGAAAGGAAUGUAUGUAUGUGUUAUAUAUUCGAGUGUUGUGUUAUUGGUGGUAUGAAUUAAACUAUAAAGGAGAUAUAUAGUUGGUUAAAUUAAUAGGGGAGAUAGAGUUUUAAAACUCGAAGUGUGAUCCUUAAAUUAUUAAGGAAAAUAGUAACCGAUGAUGUGGAAUCAAAUAGGGCAUUUAUGUUAGAUGAGUCAACACUUAAGGGGAAUAUGUAAA